GCCUGGUGCAGUGGCAUGCGCCUGUAAUCCCAGCUACUCAGAAGGCUGAGCCCAGAGGAUAGCUUGAGUCCAGGAGUUCUGGGCUGCAGUGUGCUAUGCCGAUCGGGUGUCUGCACUAAGUUUGGCAUCAAUAGGGUGACCUCCCAGGAGCGGGGGAACACUAGGUUGCCUAAGGAGGAGUGAACUGGCCCAGGUCGGAAAAAACUAGGCUGGGAGCAUUGUCAUAUCAAGGGGUAAAGUGCCAGUGUAGCAGGUAUAAGGGCCCUGAGUUCAAAUCCCAAUACCGA
Molecule: small RNA, 287 nt
Filed under: Dipodomys ordii (Ord's kangaroo rat)
Lineage: Eukaryota; Metazoa; Chordata; Mammalia; Rodentia; Heteromyidae
Description: Metazoan signal recognition particle RNA (ENSDORG00000023574.1)
Rfam family: Metazoan signal recognition particle RNA
About the family: The signal recognition particle (SRP) is a universally conserved ribonucleoprotein. It is involved in the co-translational targeting of proteins to membranes.
Source: RNAcentral